Molecule: non-coding RNA, 504 nt
Organism: Meleagris gallopavo (turkey)
Lineage: Eukaryota; Metazoa; Chordata; Aves; Galliformes; Phasianidae
Source: RefSeq, a predicted model, not a curated record
UCUCUGCACAGGCCUCAUAGCAACCAAGCUACAAACUUCCAGGUCUCUCAGAUUAGUGGCUGCAUUCUCCUCAGACUCCCAAUGAUUUUGUGAUCCGUUUGACCCUUGUGCAACAGCAAAAGCGUGUGGGAGCAGUGCUGAAUGCUGCUGUGCAGCUGCAGGCUGUGCUCCUCUCCUUUUCUGCAGCUUUUUAAGCUGCCUACGGGGUACAGAGCGUUCCAAGCCUGUGACCUAAAUUAUGAGCAGAAGAUAUUAAGCCUGGAUUUUAACUUAAGAGCUGACUACACCCACAGGACAAAUUAAAACACAGUGUUGUUUUUCCACUGAAGGUAAGCAAGCAGUGAAAUUAUACUGGAUUCUUUAUUUAAACUGCUGCCAGAAGUAUGAAGUUGUGAGCCGUAGUCUUUCCUAGUCUUUGCUCUUUCUUCUCCAAGCCCCCACAAUGGUUACACACAGCAUAGUCACAGAAUCAUACAGGCUGGAAAAAAUGACUCAGAUCCCCAA